This 253-nucleotide ribosomal RNA is filed under the name uncultured bacterium. Its description in RNAcentral is "partial 16S ribosomal RNA". It matches the Rfam family "Bacterial small subunit ribosomal RNA", at positions 524 to 776 of the family's 1533-position model. The record is from RNAcentral.
UACAGAGGAGCCAAGCGUUGUUCGGAAUUACUGGGCGUAAAGCGCACGUAGGCGGAAUGUUAAGUCAGGGGUGAAAUCCCGGGGCUCAACCCCGGAACUGCCUUUGAUACUGGCAUUCUCGAGUCCGGAAGAGGUGAGUGGAAUUCCGAGUGUAGAGGUGAAAUUCGUAGAUAUUCGGAGGAACACCAGUGGCGAAGGCGGCUCACUGGUCCGGUACUGACGCUGAGGUGCGAAAGCGUGGGGAGCAAACAGG